GAUGAAAGCUGGCGGCGUGCCUAAUACAUGCAAGUCGAGCGAACGGACGAGAAGCUUGCUUCUCUGAUGUUAGCGGCGGACGGGUGAGUAACACGUGGAUAACCUACCUAUAAGACUGGGAUAACUUCGGGAAACCGGAGCUAAUACCGGAUAAUAUUUUGAACCGCAUGGUUCAAAAGUGAAAGACGGUCUUGCUGUCACUUAUAGAUGGAUCCGCGCUGCAUUAGCUAGUUGGUAAGGUAACGGCUUACCAAGGCAACGAUGCAUAGCCGACCUGAGAGGGUGAUCGGCCACACUGGAACUGAGACACGGUCCAGACUCCUACGGGAGGCAGCAGUAGGGAAUCUUCCGCAAUGGGCGAAAGCCUGACGGAGCAACGCCGCGUGAGUGAUGAAGGUCUUCGGAUCGUAAAACUCUGUUAUUAGGGAAGAACAUAUGUGUAAGUAACUGUGCACAUCUUGACGGUACCUAAUCAGAAAGCCACGGCUAACUACGUG
This 497-nucleotide ribosomal RNA is filed under the name uncultured bacterium. RNAcentral describes it as "partial 16S ribosomal RNA". It matches the Rfam family "Bacterial small subunit ribosomal RNA", at positions 28 to 507 of the family's 1533-position model. The record is from RNAcentral.